RNAcentral lists this ribosomal RNA (496 nucleotides) under uncultured bacterium. RNAcentral's name for it is "partial 16S ribosomal RNA". It matches the Rfam family "Bacterial small subunit ribosomal RNA", at positions 28 to 506 of the family's 1533-position model. The record is from RNAcentral.
GAUGAACGCUGGCGGCGUGCCUAAUACAUGCAAGUCGAGCGAACGGACGAGACGCUUGCUUCUCUGAUGUUAGCGGCGGACGGGAGAGUAACACGUGUAUAACCUCCCUAUAAGACUGGUAUAACCUCGGGAAACCGGAGCUAAUACCGGAUAAUAUUUUGAACCGUAUGGUUCAAAAGUGAAAGACGGUCUUGCUGUCUCUUCUAGAUGGAUCCGCGCUUCAUUAGCUAGUUGUUAAUGUAACGGCUUUCCAAGGCAACGAUGCAUAGCCGACGUGAGAGGGUGAACGGCCACACUGGAACUGAGACACGGUCCUGGCUCCUACGGGAGGCAGCAGUUGGUAAUCGUCCGAGAUGGGCGAAAGCCUGACGGAGCAACGGCGCGUGAGUGAUGAAGGUCUGCGGGUCGUAAAACGCUGUUAUUAGGGAAGAACAUAUGUGUAAGUAACUGUGCGUAUCUGGACGGUACCUAAACAGAAAGCCACGGCUAACUACGU